This 88-nucleotide transfer RNA is filed under the name Pseudobacteroides cellulosolvens ATCC 35603 = DSM 2933. RNAcentral describes it as "Bacteroides cellulosolvens ATCC 35603 tRNA". It matches the Rfam family "tRNA". Rfam says of the family: Transfer RNA (tRNA) molecules are approximately 80 nucleotides in length. Their secondary structure includes four short double-helical elements and three loops (D, anti-codon, and T loops). The record is from Rfam by way of RNAcentral. Lineage: Bacteria; Bacillati; Bacillota; Clostridia; Eubacteriales; Oscillospiraceae.
GGAGAGAUGGUUGAGCUGGUCGAAGGCACCUGACUCGAAAUCAGGAGAACGGGUAACCGUUCCGUGGGUUCGAAUCCCACUCUCUCCG